RNAcentral lists this ribosomal RNA (253 nucleotides) under uncultured bacterium. RNAcentral's name for it is "partial 16S ribosomal RNA". It matches the Rfam family "Bacterial small subunit ribosomal RNA", at positions 524 to 776 of the family's 1533-position model. The record is from RNAcentral.
UACGUAGGGCGCAAGCGUUAUCCGGAAUUACUGGGCGUAAAGAGCUCGUAGGCGGUUUGUCGCGUCUGCCGUGAAAGUCCGGGGCUCAACUCCGGAUCUGCGGUGGGUACGGGCAGACUAGAGUGAUGUAGGGGAGACUGGAAUUCCUGGUGUAGCGGUGAAAUGCGCAGAUAUCAGGAGGAACACCGAUGGCGAAGGCAGGUCUCUGGGCAUUAACUGACGCUGAGGAGCGAAAGCAUGGGGAGCGAACAGG